RNAcentral lists this ribosomal RNA (1247 nucleotides) under Quercus robur (English oak). RNAcentral's name for it is "bacterial SSU rRNA". The stretch from base 299 to 1247 matches the Rfam family "Bacterial small subunit ribosomal RNA". Lineage: Eukaryota; Viridiplantae; Streptophyta; Magnoliopsida; Fagales; Fagaceae. The record is from RNAcentral.
ACUCAUGACCACAAUAUUUCUCUUGAUACCCUUUUUAAGGAAAAAUGAAAUUGGAGAUUAUCUUUAUAUAAGGGGUUGAACAAAUUACAAAUUUGAAAAAUUAGGUAUUCUUAUUUUAUUUAUUUAUUUUUUUGAAUAGGCUUUUUGUUGAAUAAUUUGCUCACUUGUUGUUUGGUCUAGUUUUGUUUUUGUUUGGGUUAUUUUUGUUGUUAUUUGUGCUAAUUUUUCUUGAUAUUAUUUAAGCCUUUUUCAUUUUGGCUUAAGGGGUUAAUGAUUAUGUUUUGGAAGCCAGAAUUAAUUUUAGAUGAAUGUUAUAUCCAUACCAUUUUUAACAAUAGAUGUUAAAGAGUAUGUUUUGGAGGCCAUAAUAAAUUUUGGAGUAUCUAUAACAUUUUAACAACAAAUCUUAUGUGACAAACUGUUAUUGGUGGGUAAAAAAGUUAUGUCAGUAUUGAGCCCGUAUUAGAAUUAGUAACAACUUAUCACAAAAGAUUUGUUGUGAAAUUAUUGCGAUAAUGUUGUAAAUCCGUAAACGACGGAUACUAGGCGCUAUGCGUAUCGACCCAUGUAGUGUUGUAGCUAACGGGUUAAGUAUCCCGCUUGGGGAGUACGUUCGCAAGAAUGAAACUCAAAGGAAUUGACGGGGGCCCACACAAGCAGUAGAGCAUGUGGUUUAAUUCGAUGCAAAGCGAAGAACCUUACCAGGGCUUAACAUGCUGCGAAUCCUCUUGAAAGAAAGGGGUGCCUUCGGGAACGCGGACACAUGUGGUGCAUGGCUGUCGUCAACUCAUGUCGUAAGGUGUUGAGUUAAGUCCCGCAACGAGUGCAACCCUCCUGUUUAAUUGCCACUGCUGAGUUUGGAACCCUGAGUAGAUUGCUGCCGAUAAGCCAGAGGAAGGUAAGGAUGACGUCAAUUCAUCAUGCCCCUUAUGCCCUGGGCGACACACGUGCUAUAAUGGCCGGGACAAAGGGUCGCGAUCCCGCAAGGGUGAGUUAACCCCAAAAACCCAUCCUCAGUUCGGAUUGUAGGCUGCAACUCGCCUGCAUGAAGCCAGAAUCGCUAGUAAUCGCCGGUCAGCCAUACGGAGGUAAAUUUGCUUUCGAGCCUUGUACACACCGCCCGUUACACUAUGAGAGCUGGCCAUGCUCAAAGUCGUUACCUUAACCACAAGGAGGGGGAUGCCGAAGGCAGGACUAGUGACUAGAGUGAAGUCAUAACAAGAUAGUCGUACUAGAAGGUGCAGCUC